AAAUUGAAGAGUUUGAUCAUGGCUCAGAUUGAACGCUGGCGGCAGGCCUAACACAUGCAAGUCGAGCGGUAGCACAGAGAGCUUGCUCUCGGGUGACGAGCGGCGGACGGGUGAGUAAUGUCUGGGAAACUGCCUGAUGGAGGGGGAUAACUACUGGAAACGGUAGCUAAUACCGCAUAAUGUCGAAAGACCAAAGUGGGGGACCUUCGGGCCUCAUGCCAUCAGAUGUGCCCAGAUGGGAUUAGCUAGUAGGUGGGGUAACGGCUCACCUAGGCGACGAUCCCUAGCUGGUCUGAGAGGAUGACCAGCCACACUGGAACUGAGACACGGUCCAGACUCCUACGGGAGGCAGCAGUGGGGAAUAUUGCACAAUGGGCGCAAGCCUGAUGCAGCCAUGCCGCGUGUGUGAAGAAGGCCUUCGGGUUGUAAAGCACUUUCAGCGGGGAGGAAGGCGGUGAGGUUAAUAACCUCAUCGAUUGACGUUACCCGCAGAAGAAGCACCGGCUAACUCCGUGCCAGCAGCCGCGGUAAUACGGAGGGUGCAAGCGUUAAUCGGAAUUACUGGGCGUAAAGCGCACGCAGGCGGUCUGUCAAGUCGGAUGUGAAAUCCCCGGGCUUAACCUGGGAACUGCAUUCGAAACUGGCAGGCUAGAGUCUUGUAGAGGGGGGUAGAAUUCCAGGUGUAGCGGUGAAAUGCGUAGAGAUCUGGAGGAAUACCGGUGGCGAAGGCGGCCCCCUGGACAAAGACUGACGCUCAGGUGCGAAAGCGUGGGGAGCAAACAGGAUUAGAUACCCUGGUAGUCCACGCCGUAAACGAUGUCGAUUUGGAGGUUGUGCCCUUGAGGCGUGGCUUCCGGAGCUAACGCGUUAAAUCGACCGCCUGGGGAGUACGGCCGCAAGGUUAAAACUCAAAUGAAUUGACGGGGGCCCGCACAAGCGGUGGAGCAUGUGGUUUAAUUCGAUGCAACGCGAAGAACCUUACCUGGUCUUGACAUCCACAGAACUUUCCAGAGAUGGAUUGGUGCCUUCGGGAACUGUGAGACAGGUGCUGCAUGGCUGUCGUCAGCUCGUGUUGUGAAAUGUUGGGUUAAGUCCCGCAACGAGCGCAACCCUUAUCCUUUGUUGCCAGCGGUCCGGCCGGGAACUCAAAGGAGACUGCCAGUGAUAAACUGGAGGAAGGUGGGGAUGACGUCAAGUCAUCAUGGCCCUUACGACCAGGGCUACACACGUGCUACAAUGGCAUAUACAAAGAGAAGCGACCUCGCGAGAGCAAGCGGACCUCAUAAAGUAUGUCGUAGUCCGGAUUGGAGUCUGCAACUCGACUCCAUGAAGUCGGAAUCGCUAGUAAUCGUAGAUCAGAAUGCUACGGUGAAUACGUUCCCGGGCCUUGUACACACCGCCCGUCACACCAUGGGAGUGGGUUGCAAAAGAAGUAGGUAGCUUAACCUUCGGGAGGGCGCUUACCACUUUGUGAUUCAUGACUGGGGUGAAGUCGUAACAAGGUAACCGUAGGGGAACCUGCGGUUGGAUCACCUCCUUACCUUAAAGAA
RNAcentral lists this ribosomal RNA (1550 nucleotides) under Klebsiella pneumoniae. RNAcentral's name for it is "bacterial SSU rRNA". It matches the Rfam family "Bacterial small subunit ribosomal RNA". The record is from RNAcentral. Lineage: Bacteria; Pseudomonadati; Pseudomonadota; Gammaproteobacteria; Enterobacterales; Enterobacteriaceae.